GAUGAAGAACGUAGCGAAAUGCGAUAAGUAAUGUGAAUUGCAGAAUUCCGUGAAUCAUCGAAUCUUUGAACGCAUAUUGCGCCCUCCGGUAUUCCGGGGGGCAUGCCUGUCCGAGCGUCAUUGCUGCCCUCAAGCACGGCUUGUGUGUUGGGCCUCCGUCCUCCUCCCGGGGGACGGGCCCGAAAGGCAGCGGCGGCACCGCGUCCGGUCCUCGAGCGUAUGGGGCUUCGUCACCCGCUCUUGUAGGCCCGGCCGGCGCUUGCCGACACAUCAAUCUUUUUUCCAGGUUGACCUCGGAUCAGGUAGGGAUACCCGCUGAACUUAAGCAUAUCAAUAAGCGGAGGA
Molecule: unclassified non-coding RNA, 345 nt
Filed under: soil metagenome
Description: partial contains 5.8S ribosomal RNA, internal transcribed spacer 2, and large subunit ribosomal RNA
Rfam family: 5.8S ribosomal RNA (bases 1-120)
Source: RNAcentral